UGGGGAAUAUUGCACAAUGGGCGCAAGCCUGAUGCAGCCAUGCCGCGUGUGUGAAGAAGGCCUUCGGGUUGUAAAGCACUUUCAGCGAGGAGGAAGGUGGUGAGCUUAAUACGCUCAUCAAUUGACGUUACUCGCAGAAGAAGCACCGGCUAACUCCGUGCCAGCAGCCGCGGUAAUACGGAGGGUGCAAGCGUUAAUCGGAAUUACUGGGCGUAAAGCGCACGCAGGCGGUUUGUUAAGUCAGAUGUGAAAUCCCCGGGCUCAACCUGGGAACUGCAUUUGAAACUGGCAAGCUAGAGUCUCGUAGAGGGGGGCUAGAAUUCCAGGUGUAGCGGUGAAAUGCGUAGAGAUCUGGAGGAAUACCGGUGGCGAAGGCGGCCCCCUGGACGAAGACUGACGCUCAGGUGCGAAAGCGUGGGGAGCAAACAGGAUUAGAUACCCCUGGUAGUCCACGCUGUAAACGAUGUCGAUUUUGGAGGUUGUGCCCUUGAGGCGUGGCUUCCGGAGCUAACGCGUUAAAUCGACCGCCUGGGGAGUACGG
This 541-nucleotide ribosomal RNA is filed under the name uncultured bacterium. RNAcentral's name for it is "partial 16S ribosomal RNA". It matches the Rfam family "Bacterial small subunit ribosomal RNA", at positions 355 to 885 of the family's 1533-position model. The record is from RNAcentral.